GUGAAGGUUAAGAUACGCGGAGCAGCCAUCUACCCUGAGGCAAUUGAUAGGAGGUGGGGCGGGGAUCAUAGAUUGCAGCGAAAAUAGAGGUAGAAGAAAAAACUACAACAAGGAAGAGAAGAAAGAACUGGGAAAAUAACAAGGAACAAGAGAAAAGACCAAUUAUGAAAGCACCCACAAUCUGAUUCGAAGAAUGGAAGUGGCAGGAAGGCGAAGGGUUUCAUACAGGAAGAAGCAACACCAUCGCAUCUCAAUCAAGGAGUCCCACAGACAUGAUUCUUCUUCAGUGCCCCGUUCCAUCUGCUCAGCUUUUGAAUACCUUAUUUGUAUUGUUGUUUUGUCAACAAUGCAGCACAAUACUUGCAUGCAUCAUUGGUCCCUGUCAUAUAAGAUGAUAUAUACUUUCCCAUGACUAAGGAAAUGAAAAGAAUCCAAAUAUUAA
Molecule: long non-coding RNA, 442 nt
Organism: Varanus komodoensis (Komodo dragon)
Lineage: Eukaryota; Metazoa; Chordata; Lepidosauria; Squamata; Varanidae
Exons: 3
Source: RefSeq, a predicted model, not a curated record